This 433-nucleotide ribosomal RNA is filed under the name uncultured bacterium. Its description in RNAcentral is "partial 16S ribosomal RNA". It matches the Rfam family "Bacterial small subunit ribosomal RNA", at positions 29 to 507 of the family's 1533-position model. The record is from RNAcentral.
AACGAACGCUGGCGGCAUGCCUAACACAUGCAAGUCGAACGAGACCUUCGGGCCUAGUGGCGCACGGGUGCGUAACGCGUGGGAACCUGCCCUUAGGUUCGGAAUAACUCCCCGAAAGGGGUGCUAAUACCGGAUAAUGUCUUCGGACCAAAGAUUUAUCGCCUUUGGAUGGGCCCGCGUUGGAUUAGCUAGUUGGUAGGGUAAAAGCCUACCAAGGCGACGAUCCAUAGCUGGUCUGAGAGGAUGAUCAGCCACACUGGGACUGAGACACGGCCCAGACUCCUACGGGAGGCAGCAGUGGGGAAUAUUGGACAAUGGGCGAAAGCCUGAUCCAGCAACGCCGCGUGAGUGAUGAAGGCCUUAGGGUUGUAAAGCUCUUUUACCCGGGAUGAUAAUGACAGUACCGGGAGAAUAAGCUCCGGCUAACUCCGUG